Molecule: long non-coding RNA, 1275 nt
Filed under: Homo sapiens (human)
Lineage: Eukaryota; Metazoa; Chordata; Mammalia; Primates; Hominidae
Description: HSALNT0309607
Source: RNAcentral
GCAGGCGCCUGGGCCGGGUGCCCGGCCGUGCGUGAGUGCGGCCUCGUGGAUUCUGGCCCCGGACGCACGAAGCGGGUUCUACUUUUUAAAAAAACUGCGUUGCCUUUUCCUUCCUCUACGUUAGCAUCCUGUCCGGGGUCCCCGGCCCAUGUGGCCUUUCUUCCAGCGACAGUACACUUAGCUCAGAACGGAUUGACACCCACUCUGUGUUUCCACCGGGCGCGCAGGCUCUGCAAUGCGGAGCGCGUUCUCUGAAGGACAGGCCCCGGAGUCACGGCUACAGCCACAGAAAGCGGAAACCGAGCUGCAGUCCAGAGGGGAUCCCCGUACAUUUCCAGCGGGCUCAGACACAGGGUCCCCCACAAGAAAGAAACAGGACAGAAAAAGUCAGGACACGUAUGCUGUGGAGAGUCGAGGUCUCGCCUAGAUCUUGGGUGUGGGUAGACGCAGCCGCUGGCAGUUUUCCUUUCCAGCGUCUCUGGGGAGCCUGGAGAUGUCCUUGGUGCCGAUGUGACACGAAGAGUGAUUGCGCCGCCCUGCAGAGGCGGUGGCGGGACGCUGCGCUCGGGCUGGGAAAGGCCGGCCCCAGGGCGACCCCUCCGGAGGCCCCCGGAGAGCAGGUGUGCACCUCGCCUCCCGCUGGGCAGCCAGUUCAGGAGAAAAAUGUGAAGCUUUUAGCUAAACAAAAUAUUUCUUUCGUUAAGGGCUUUCUCCACACGGAGACUUUCUAGCCACGUGAGACUUUGACCUCCCAGUCCCCCAGAUUCAGCGCUGGGACCGAGCGUCUGCUGUUAUUUUUAGUAGAAGUAUAAAAAGAAUCUCGAAAAGUUUUAGCUCUGGAGAAGGCGUGAAUACAGCUGGUGCCUUCAUACACUCCACUUGAGCCGCUCUUUAAGAACUCCAGGAGAUCAGAAAGCAAUACGAAAGCCAGAGCAUUGCACAUGGGAUGGGCUGGCGGGUGGCCUUUGGGUCCCUAUCUUAUGGACGAUUUUUGUAAAUGGGGCAUUGGAGAUGAGUAUCACCUGGAUCACAUUUUUAGGUUGAAUUCCUCCGUGGGGGGAACUUUAGCAAUACGCAUCCAAAUAAGAAUGUAGAUUGCAAUAAUUGUAGUAAAGUGUUUGCCAGACUCAUCUCAGAAAAAGACAUUAUCAAAAGGCAUUUAUUAUCUUCCUAAUGCGUGUCUGGCACUGGGCAGACACUGUAGAAUACUAUCUUGAUUAGAGUCUCAAGGAUUUUGUACUUAAAGUCCUUUACAAAUAAAAGUAUUCAAGUAUA